GGUGAGGUGGCCGAGCGGUCUAUGGCGCAAGUUUCAGGUAACUGGAACAUGAGCUUCUAUGGUUUAAAAGCUAGAAUACUUGUGGAGAAAUCCUCGUGGGUUCGAAUCCCACCCUCAUCA
RNAcentral lists this transfer RNA (120 nucleotides) under Exophiala aquamarina CBS 119918. It matches the Rfam family "tRNA". From Rfam's summary of the family: Transfer RNA (tRNA) molecules are approximately 80 nucleotides in length. Their secondary structure includes four short double-helical elements and three loops (D, anti-codon, and T loops). Further hydrogen bonds mediate the characteristic L-shaped molecular structure. tRNAs have two regions of fundamental functional importance: the anti-codon, which is responsible for specific mRNA codon recognition, and the 3' end, to which the tRNAs corresponding amino acid is attached (by aminoacyl-tRNA synthetases). tRNAs cope with the degeneracy of the genetic code in two manners: having more than one tRNA (with a specific anti-codon) for a particular amino acid; and 'wobble' base-pairing, i.e. permitting non-standard base-pairing at the 3rd anti-codon position. The record is from Rfam by way of RNAcentral. Lineage: Eukaryota; Fungi; Ascomycota; Eurotiomycetes; Chaetothyriales; Herpotrichiellaceae.